GACGAACGCUGGCGGCGUGCUUAACACAUGCAAGUCGAACGGAAAGGCCCUGCUUUUGUGGGGUGCUCGAGUGGCGAACGGGUGAGUAACACGUGAGUAACCUGCCCUUGACUUUGGGAUAACUUCGGGAAACUGGGGCUAAUACCGGAUAGGAGCUCCUGCUGCAUGGUGGGGGUUGGAAAGUUUCGGCGGUUGGGGAUGGACUCGCGGCUUAUCAGCUUGUUGGUGGGGUAGUGGCUUACCAAGGCUUUGACGGGUAGCCGGCCUGAGAGGGCGACCGGCCACAUUGGGACUGAGAUACGGCCCAGACUCCUACGGGAGGCAGCAGUGGGGAAUAUUGCACAAUGGGCGGAAGCCUGAUGCAGCAACGCCGCGUGCGGGAUGACGGCCUUCGGGUUGUAAACCGCUUUCGCCUGUGACGAAGCGUGAGUGAUGGUAAUGGGUAAAGAAGCACCGGCUAACUACGUGCCAGCAGCCGCGGUGAUACGUAGGGUGCGAGCGUUGUCCGGAUUUAUUGGGCGUAAAGGGCUCGUAGGUGGUUGAUCGCGUCGGAAGUGUAAUCUUGGGGCUUAACCCUGAGCGUGCUUUCGAUACGGGUUGACUUGAGGAAGGUAGGGGAGAAUGGAAUUCCUGGUGGAGCGGUGGAAUGCGCAGAUAUCAGGAGGAACACCAGUGGCGAAGGCGGUUCUCUGGGCCUUUCCUGACGCUGAGGAGCGAAAGCGUGGGGAGCGAACAGGCUUAGAUACCCUGGUAGUCCACGCUGUAAACGGUGGGUACUAGGUGUGGGGUCCAUUCCACGGGUUCCGUGCCGUAGCUAACGCUUUAAGUACCCCGCCUGGGGAGUACGGCCGCAAGGCUAAAACUCAAAGGAAUUGACGGGGCCCCGCACAAGCGGCGGAGCAUGCGGAUUAAUUCGAUGCAACGCGUAGAACCUUACCUGGGUUUGACAUGGAUCGGGAGCGCUCAGAGAUGGGUGUGCCUCUUUUGGGGUCGGUUCACAGGUGGUGCAUGGCUGUCGUCAGCUCGUGUCGUGAGAUGUUGGGUUAAGUCCCGCAACGAGCGCAACCCUUGUUCACUGUUGCCAGCACGUUAUGGUGGGGACUCAGUGGAGACCGCCGGGGUCAACUCGGAGGAAGGUGGGGAUGACGUCAAGUCAUCAUGCCCCUUAUGUCCAGGGCUUCACGCAUGCUACAAUGGCUGGUACAGAGAGUGGCGAGCCUGUGAGGGUGAGCGAAUCUCGGAAAGCCGGUCUCAGUUCGGAUUGGGGUCUGCAACUCGACCUCAUGGAGUCGGAGUCGCUAGUAAUCGCAGAUCAGCAACGCUGCGGUGAAUACGUUCCCGGG
Molecule: ribosomal RNA, 1343 nt
Filed under: uncultured bacterium
Lineage: Bacteria
Description: 16S ribosomal RNA
Rfam family: Bacterial small subunit ribosomal RNA
Source: RNAcentral